GGGGCACGGUUUGUUUACCCCGCAGCGAGCCGGCCUGCGCGGCAUCGCCGAACGUGCGACUGACUGGACGAGCCCGAUGACGAUGACGGCCGACGGGUGUCGAGGAAGAGCGGGGCCACCGCGAUGCACCGAGCCGUGGCGACCGGUCAAGGCGAUGACCUCCCGUAUCUCAGACCCGGAAAGGUGUUUUUGGAAUUUGAGAAUGCAGAACCGAAAGGAUUGUUUUCUAACAGUCCCUGGUAUCCAUGGAAAAGCUUGUACAUGCAUUGUAUGAAAGAUCACAAUUUUAAACCGAUCUUCACGAAACUUCACCACAUGCUAGAGUUUGUCAGAAGGAAGAAUCCUCGUUUUUUUGAAGUCAAAAGGUCAAAAGGUCAACAGAGACGAAAGGUCAACAUCUUAGCCAAAGAAAUCUGCAUUAUGAAGCAAUCAAGAAAAGCCACACAAGAUGUGCCAGUGGAUUACUGUAUGUACGCUGUUGUGCCUUUUUGCGUACAGCUGUUCUGACAAACGUUUUCUUCCAUCCUGAAAAGAGAUGAAAUGGCAUCUUUAAGACCACAGGACGUUGGUCACUGCUGCACCCUUAGGAGGAGUCUUUUUCAUCGGAUGAUGGUGCACCUACCUCUCUGGUCGAGCUGUUGAAGAUGAAGAGCCGCCAUAUUUAUUUGAACGUGGUUUUCAUUCCUCGACCAAGUUGGUAUUUUGUUGUUGAAUAACAUCCACUGAUAGUGCUAGUUGGUUAAUGGCUUUGAUUUUGUUUCUUGGGGGGGAUGGGGGGAGCUAUGUUUUCAGGAUCAGCCUCGUUCUACGCAGUAUGUUUGACGUCAUUGGAACGCACAACUCCAGGUAAAGUGAGCUGAAGCGUCGUGGGGUUUUUUUUUUCUGGUAUCUACUAUAAAUGGAUGAGGUGUGUGUGUGUGUCAUGCUUUUUUGUCUAUUAAUUACGUACGUCUAUUAAUUAAUUACAUACUAUUGGAAUGUACCUUUUGAUAUUUAAGGCUUCUGAGACCCUUUUGACCUUUUAAGACCACCAAGAUCCCAAAAGACCUCUAAUGAAGGGAUCCAAGGCUUCCAUGCUCGGAAACUUAUUGUUUUUGUUCGGGCUCGUAAAAAACACCCAAGGCCGUGAAGACCAAUGAAAAUUUGGUCCAAUGGACCAAAUCGACCCCAAGUAUUUUGAAAAAAAUAUCAAAAAGUUUGUGCAACAAGUUUCUGAGAAUGUAGUGAGUGUCCAACUCCCAUAAGUUUUGAUGUCUGUCUUCAUUGACAAAAGAAGCGCUGAUGACGUAAUGUAUGCCUAUGGAUGCUACACCGACAAUGAUUAUUUUUUCUUUUUAAAAAAGUCUUUGGAGAUGUGUUCAAAAGCAAUCCACGUGUCGUGUCAGAGUGUUUACGUGCUGUUGUGGAAUCUGUUAGCUCGUCAUGUCACUCAGAAUUGUAUGAUUCCGACUGCAGCCCAAACGGAUGUUUGAACGAGCUCCGAUUUCGUGUUGUUUUCCGAGUAGAUAUCAGUGCCGCGGUGUUUCACUCGGAAGGUAAGGUAUUUUGAGUCCUUCAUACCUCGGCGCAGCAUUCAUAUGGGUGGGCGGUUCACAGCGGUGGGUGGGGAUGUGUUUGAUCGAGAGAGAGCGCGCGGCCACAAAGUAUGCGAAAAACAAGGAAGGAAUGCACAGGGCAUGCUCGCGCGUUCCUUCUGACUCAUAACUGACUCACGUGUCAGGACCUCCACUCGCGCUCACCCACGAUUGGCUGUGGCGCCCUGGUGAUCACGUGGUGCCGCGGUGGCGCCCUUUUUGCAACGCGAUUAUUAUCGGAACACACGUUGCGUUCGACCCUUUCUCGUCGGUUUAAUGCAUGCUUUGUUCGUCUUUUAUCUUUUGAUGGUCGAUCUUGUUAUUUUAAACCUGCUCAACGAGACAUUACUUUGUAUUCGUUUGGGACAGGAUUACAUCUCAAUUGAUGGCUUUUAGAUGCAACACACGUGCUGUGAGGUCCGAUGGACCGAGAGAAAGAAAGGGCAAAGAGGAGUAGAUCCCGUUCAAAACGCCAAUGUUGUGCACGUGGUCGGUGGACCAUCCGUGGAUACUGAAUAGAUGAACCGGACCAAGCAAGAUCUGUCGGCAAAGUUCAAACAGAGGAAGGAAUAUUGACGCGCAGCAGCACGUGAGUGAUUAUUAACACACAAAGGUUGGAGAUGUUCGUGGUUCUGUCUCGUUGUCUCAUGAUUGGCUUCGAUUAUAUAAUAUAACGUUUGAAUGGUGGGAUGACUUAUGGAGCAGAGAAUGCACCGCGCUUCGGAGGGAACGUUAUAAAGCCGCCUAAACCGUCUGCUUGCACCAACUUUAUUUAUUUAUCGAGCAACUUGCAGUAAUUGUUUCGACCGUGGGGGGG
Long non-coding RNA from Eptatretus burgeri (inshore hagfish), 2391 nucleotides. NCBI's taxonomy places the organism in Eukaryota, Metazoa, Chordata, Myxini, Myxiniformes, Myxinidae. The record is from Ensembl.